Molecule: ribosomal RNA, 111 nt
Filed under: Caerostris darwini
Lineage: Eukaryota; Metazoa; Arthropoda; Arachnida; Araneae; Araneidae
Source: RNAcentral
AACGGCCGUACCAUGCUGAAUAUACCGGUUCUCGUUAGAUCACCGAAGUUAAGCAUCAUUGGGCGCGGUCAGUACUUGGGUGGGUGACCACCUGGGAACACUGCGCGCCGU